GAGGAAUAUUGCGCAAUGGAGGCAACUCUGACGCAGCCAUGCCGCGUGCAGGAAGAAGGCGCUACGCGUUGUAAACUGCUUUUAUCCGGGAAGAAACCCCUCUACGUGUGGAGGGUUGACGGUACCGGAGGAAUAAGCACCGGCUAACUUCGUGCCAGCAGCCGCGGUAAUACGAAGGGUGCAAGCGUUAUCCGGAUUCAUUGGGUUUAAAGGGUGCGUAGGCGGAGCGUUAAGUCAGUGGUGAAAUCCUGCAGCUCAACUGUAGACUUGCCAUUGAUACUGAUGCUCUUGAGUGCGCUUGAAGUAGGCGGAAUGUGCCGUGUAGCGGUGAAAUGCUUAGAUAUGGCACAGAACACCAAUUGCGAAGGCAGCUUACUAAGGCGCUACUGACGCUGAGGCACGAAAGCGUGGGGAUCGAAC
Molecule: ribosomal RNA, 420 nt
Filed under: uncultured bacterium
Lineage: Bacteria
Description: bacterial SSU rRNA
Rfam family: Bacterial small subunit ribosomal RNA
Source: RNAcentral